RNAcentral lists this ribosomal RNA (158 nucleotides) under Nephroma helveticum. RNAcentral's name for it is "5.8S ribosomal RNA". It matches the Rfam family "5.8S ribosomal RNA". From Rfam's summary of the family: 5.8S ribosomal RNA (5.8S rRNA) is a component of the large subunit of the eukaryotic ribosome. It is transcribed by RNA polymerase I as part of the 45S precursor that also contains 18S and 28S rRNA. The record is from RNAcentral. Lineage: Eukaryota; Fungi; Ascomycota; Lecanoromycetes; Peltigerales; Nephromataceae.
AAAACUUUCAACAACGGAUCUCUUGGUUCUGGCAUCGAUGAAGAACGCAGCGAAAUGCGAUAAGUAAUGUGAAUUGCAAAAUUCAGUGAAUCAUCGAAUCUUUGAACGCACAUUGCGCCUCCUGAAAAUUCCGGAAGGCAUACCUGUUCGAGCGUCAU